Non-coding RNA from Triticum urartu, 125 nucleotides. The record is from Rfam. Lineage: Eukaryota; Viridiplantae; Streptophyta; Magnoliopsida; Poales; Poaceae.
ACGAUACUCCCUCCAUUUGAAAUUACUUGUCGCAGAAAUCGAUGUAUAUAGACGUAUUUUAGUUCUAGAUACAUCCAUUGUUAUCCAUUGCUACGACAAGUAAUUUACUACAGAUGGAGUAUUUU